AGAGUUUGAUCAUGGCUCAGGACGAACGCUGGCGGCGUGCUUAACACAUGCAAGUCGAACGGGACUAUUACGAAGGAGUUUUCGGACAACGGAGUAAUAGUUUAGUGGCGGACUGGUGAGUAACGCGUGAGGAACCUGCCUUUCAGAGGGGGACAACAGUUGGAAACGACUGCUAAUACCGCAUGACACAUUUGGGUGGCAUCACCUGGAUGUCAAAGAUUUAUCGCUGAAAGAUGGCCUCGCGUCUGAUUAGCUAGUAGGUGAGGUAACGGCCCACCUAGGCGACGAUCAGUAGCCGGACUGAGAGGUUGACCGGCCACAUUGGGACUGAGAUACGGCCCAGACUCCUACGGGAGGCAGCAGUGGGGAAUAUUGGGCAAUGGGCGAAAGCCUGACCCAGCAACGCCGCGUGAAGGAAGAAGGCUUUCGGGUUGUAAACUUCUUUGACAGGGGAAGAGCAGAAGACGGUACCCUGAAAACAAGCCACGGCUAACUACGUGCCAGCAGCCGCGGUAAUACGUAGGUGGCAAGCGUUGUCCGGAUUUACUGGGUGUAAAGGGCGUGCAGCCGGGAAGACAAGUCAGAUGUGAAAUCUGGAGGCUUAACCUCCAAACUGCAUUUGAAACUGUUUUUCUUGAGUAUCGGAGAGGUAAUCGGAAU
RNAcentral lists this ribosomal RNA (660 nucleotides) under uncultured bacterium. RNAcentral's name for it is "bacterial SSU rRNA". It matches the Rfam family "Bacterial small subunit ribosomal RNA", at positions 8 to 667 of the family's 1533-position model. The record is from RNAcentral.